GAAGCACUUGCCGCAUCAAACGGUGGACUGUACCAAUAAUGAGCGUUUGCCAUGAGUAAAACCGACUCUCCAUUCUCAAGUUCAAAAGCAAAGAGCUUCCAGAUGUCCUUGCUCUCGACGAAGCCACACCAGAACCGUGUCAAAAUAGUUAUGCGAUAUCGCGCCGACACCAAUUUAACCCACAAACAAAUCAUGUCGCUUGCAAACCUCAGCUGAAAUUCAACCCGGUGACGUAUGUCCUGCAAGUAUCAGCAACAGAUGAAAUUAACACGACCAUGUACCAUUCAUUCAAGAAAACGUAUGCUAAAGUGGUUUCGCAACAGUGAUUUACCUGUGGUAAAAAGUUAGGAUGAGAGUUGAGGGGGGACCAUUAAGCUUGAGCAGACAAUUUUCAGAAUUCCCGCUCUACUACAUGGACAGUUGCCUUAGCUCCUGGUCACUACCAAUAGUACGGAAAAGCAGACGAGAGGGACCACCAGCUUGAGCGAAGACAAAAACCUCCAGCAUCCUCCGUACGGACAGCCUCCACUACACAACAGGAAACACAACAGAGAGGUCAUAUAUAAAAGAGAUUACUAUUCACAAGGGAACCCUAAAUUUUUUUGGAGGAGCGGCUACUGUUCAAAAGCAAAAAACCCUAAAAACUUUCAAUACGAAAAAGAGAAUUAGCCAAAAACCCUAAGAUUCUCCUCUGACAGCGAGACGCUAAAAACCAGAAAGGAUAGGAUCCGAAGAAACAAGAAGAGUGGAAGAACACAUACCUAUUCAUCUACCUCUGAAGAAUCUCGAGCUGGUAGUUCUUUUUCUCUUCUUUAUCAUGUCAUACUUGGAUUCAUGUUGAUGCCACCGAAUGUAUUACAAUGUAUGUGUAAUGUUUUUUUUCACGCUUGAUUCAUUUCUCUAUAAGUGAUUGUCCCUUCUUGUUUUUCAGUAUUCAAGGUCGACCCUAUCUGUUUAGGGUUCAUGAUUUUGAUGAUGUCGUUUGCCUUUGCGUGCUUUUAGUGUUGGGUUUGGUUUGUGAUAGGAGUAACGGUUUAGGUUUAAUCUGUAAGUUUGCUUUUGUUUCGAGUGAGGAAGGAGAUGAAUGUCUCAAGCAGAAAAGAAGAUUUGAGGCGGAAGUGAUUAUUCUCACCGUCUGUUGGUGUUUUUUAUUUGGAUCUCAUCGAGGCUUUAAGGCCAUUAAUUACAUUGCCUUUCCGAAUCCCAAAGUCGGCUGCUUUGUUCGGCGCUCCCUUACGUUCGUCCAAGUUUAGUCUGUUGGUGUUUUUUAUUUGGAUCUCAUCGAGGCUUUAAGGCCAUUAAUUACAUUGCCUUUCCGAAUCCCAAAGUCGGCUGCUUUGUUCGGCGCUCCCUUACGUUCGUCCAAGUUUCCAUGUGACUAUUGUACUUCCCUGCCAUUUUCGCGCUUGGACUUUGCUGAAGUGGGCCUCAACUACCCAAGUUGAGAUUUAGGUUCAUGGGCCUUAAACAAACUUAGCCCAUGUUUGGCCUUUCUCGUUUUCUCC
RNAcentral lists this long non-coding RNA (1505 nucleotides) under Lathyrus oleraceus (garden pea). RNAcentral describes it as "Pisum sativum (pea) long non-coding RNA (PSAT_LNC010298)". The record is from RNAcentral. Lineage: Eukaryota; Viridiplantae; Streptophyta; Magnoliopsida; Fabales; Fabaceae.